AGCGAACAUUGGCGGUAGGCUUAACACAUGCAAGUCGAGCGAGGCGUAAUAGUCGAGCGGCGAACGGGUGAGUAAUACAUGGGAAUCUACCCUGAAGUGGGGGAUAACGUUCAGAAAUGGACGCUAAUACCGCAUAAUCCACAUUGGGAAAGCGCGCUGCGCUUUAGGAUGAGCCCAUGGCUGAUUAGCUUGUUGGUGAGGUAACGGCUCACCAAGGCGACGAUCAGUAGCUGGUCUGAGAGGAUGAUCAGCCACACUGGGACUUAGACACGGCCCAGACUCCUACGGGAGGCAGCAGUGGGGAAUAUUGGACAAUGGGGGCAACCCUGAUCCAGCAAUGCCGCGUGAGUGAUGAAGGCCUUAGGGUUGUAAAGCUCUUUUACCGGGGACGAUGAUGACGGUACCCGGAGAAUAAGCCCCGGCUAACUUCGUGCCAGCCGCCGCCGUAA
RNAcentral lists this ribosomal RNA (449 nucleotides) under uncultured bacterium. RNAcentral describes it as "partial 16S ribosomal RNA". It matches the Rfam family "Bacterial small subunit ribosomal RNA", at positions 29 to 523 of the family's 1533-position model. The record is from RNAcentral.